This 1367-nucleotide ribosomal RNA is filed under the name uncultured bacterium. RNAcentral's name for it is "bacterial SSU rRNA". It matches the Rfam family "Bacterial small subunit ribosomal RNA", at positions 8 to 1383 of the family's 1533-position model. The record is from RNAcentral.
AGAGUUUGAUCCUGGCUCAGGAUGAACGCUGGCGGCGUGCUUAACACAUGCAAGUCGAGCGAAGCACCUCGAAGUUUUCGGACGGAUGGGUGACUGAGCGGCGGACGGGUGAGUAACGCGUGGGUAACCUGCCUCAUACAGGGGGAUAACAGUUAGAAAUGACUGCUAAUACCGCAUAAGCGCACAGGACCGCAUGGUCUGGUGUGAAAAACUCCGGUGGUAUGAGAUGGACCCGCGUUGGAUUAGGCAGUUGGCGGGGUAACGGCCCACCAAACCGACGAUCCAUAGCCGGCCUGAGAGGGUGAACGGCCACAUUGGGACUGAGACACGGCCCAAACUCCUACGGGAGGCAGCAGUGGGGAAUAUUGCACAAUGGGGGAAACCCUGAUGCAGCGACGCCGCGUGAGUGAAGAAGUUAUUCGUAAUGUAAAGCUCUAUCAGCAGGGAAGAAAAUGACGGUACCUGACUAAGAAGCCCCGGCUAACUACGUGCCAGCAGCCGCGGUAAUACGUAGGGGGCAAGCGUUAUCCGGAUUUACUGGGUGUAAAGGGAGCGUAGACGGCUUUGCAAGUCUGAUGUGAAAGGCAGGGGCUCAACCCCUGGACUGCAUUGGAAACUGUGAGGCUCGAGUGCCGGAGGGGUAAGCGGAAUUCCUAGUGUAGCGGUGAAAUGCGUAGAUAUUAGGAGGAACACCAGUGGCGAAGGCGGCUUACUGGACGGUAACUGACGUUGAGGCUCGAAAGCGUGGGGAGCAAACAGGAUUAGAUACCCUGGUAGUCCACGCCGUAAACGAUGAUUACUAGGUGUCGGGGGACACGGUCCUUCGGUGCCGCCGCACACGCAUUAAGUAGUCCACCUUGGGAGGUACGUUCGCAAGAAUGAAACUCAAAGGAAAUGACGGGGAGCCGCACAAGCGGUGGAGCAUGUGGUUUAAUUUGAAGCAACGCGAAGAACCUUACCAAGUCUUGACAUCGAGAGGACAGAGUAUGUAAUGUACUUUCCUUUCGGGGCGUCAAAGACAGGUGGUGCAUGGUUGUCGUCAGCUCGUGUCGUGAGAUGUUGGGUUAAGUCCCGCAACGAGCGCAACCCCUCUCCUCAGUAGCCAGCGGUCCGGCCGGGCACUCUGUGGAGACUGCCAGGGAUAACCUGGAGGAAGGGGGGGAGGACGUCAAAUCAUCAUCCCCCUUAUGACUUGGGCUACACACGUGCUACAAUGGCGUAAACAAAGGGAAGCGAGGGAGUGAUCCGGAGCAAAUCCCAAAAAUAACGUCUCAGUUCGGAUUGUAGUCUGCAACUCGACUACAUGAAGCUGGAAUCGCUAGUAAUCGCGAAUCAGCAUGUCGCGGUGAAUACGUUCCCGGGUCUUG